UCCGGCUUAACGCCGGCGGUCUCCAUAGAGUGCCCAACUGAAUGAUGGCAACUAGGGAUAAGGGUUGCGCUCGUUAAGGGACUUAACCCGACAUCUCACGAUACGAGCUGACGACAGCCAUGCAGCACCUGUCUCACUGCCCCCGAAGGGGAAACCGUAUCUCUACGGCUGUCAGUGGACGUCAAACCCAGGUAAGGUUUUUCGCGUUGCAUCGAAUUAAACCACAUGCUCCACCGCUUGUGCGGGCCCCCGUCAAUUCCUUUGAGUUUUAGCCUUGCGGCCGUACUCCCCAGGCGGAGUGCUUAACGCGUUGGCUGCGACACCGCGGGGGUCAAUACCCACAGCAUCUAGCACUCAUCGUUUACGGCGUGGACUAC
RNAcentral lists this unclassified non-coding RNA (377 nucleotides) under uncultured delta proteobacterium. RNAcentral describes it as "contains 16S-23S intergenic spacer region". The record is from RNAcentral. Lineage: Bacteria; Deltaproteobacteria.